GGGGGUGUCAUGGCUUCGACGGGAUAGAUCUUUGAAUUAGGACGCGAGUCGAGGAGGUGCCAGGCCUCGUAAAAAGGCACAAAACAAUAAAUGCUAAACCAGUAUUUACUGUAGUUUCAGGUUCGCCUGUUACUGCUUCAGCCGCUGCUGCUUAAUUAAGCUAGCAACGCCAUCAUGACAGGAUGUUGACGACUCUUGUGAUGAAACUAGUCAUCUAGCGGUUACUGCUUCUCUGCCGGUAAUUUAGCGAAACUUUAGUAGAAAUCGCUUUGUCGUGGCCUGUUCUUGGGCAGUGACACUGUUAAACUUAUACAAGAACUACACUCGUAGUGGCUUAAUUUGUAGCUAUUCCGGACAGCGGUUCGACUCCGCUCACCUCCACCA
Molecule: transfer-messenger RNA, 384 nt
Filed under: Candidatus Marinamargulisbacteria
Lineage: Bacteria; Bacillati; Candidatus Margulisiibacteriota
Also listed under: 1 other name
Description: AAA071-K20 sp003265975 Standard tmRNA
Rfam family: transfer-messenger RNA
About the family: Bacterial tmRNA, also known as 10Sa RNA or SsrA, is named for its dual tRNA and mRNA-like properties.
Source: RNAcentral